GCGGUGAGCAGAAGACGUGCCAUUGCACUCCAGCCUGGGCAACAAGAGCAAAACUCCAUCUCAAAAAAAAAAAGAAAAAAAAAAGGAGAUAGAGGUUGUAGUGAGCUGAGAUCAUGCCAUUGCACUCCAGCCUGGGUAACAAGAGUGAAAAUCAUCUCAAGGAAAAAAAGAAAAAGAAAAUGGAGGCUCAGUGGUCACUGCCGCCACUCAGCAUCAGCAAUGCAACGAAUGCAUUCUUGGCUGCAACAUUAAAACUGCCAGGGUGGAGUGAGGAAACAGGUUACGAUUAAGGAACAAGACGCUUACUACAGAAAUCAUGUAAAUAUGAGAAGAGUUGGAGAUAAAGGGGUUCACAGGAAGAAAGGAGAUCACUAAAUGCAGUAGCCUGGAAUGGCCUGAUGAAAACCAGAGGGAUGGUGAAAUCCAAGGAUCUCUGUGUACCUGAAUCCUAAAGAGGGGACGGUGGUGGGGAUGCUUGUGGAACAGUCUAUGGAGUGUGCUAAGAGGAAACUAAAGUCAAAUGUCAUGUUGGCUUUGGGGGCUGUUCUAGACUAGCAGAGCCAGAAGUCAGAAAAAUGUAUUGCAAUUUAGGUCCGUAAGGUUACCACGUGUUUGUUUCCGGGUAGUCUAUUAGAACUGAGAAUAGGCAGGGUGCGGUGGCUCACACCUGUAAUCCCACUGGAAGACACAUCUUUAAAUAAUAAAGACUGAAGGACACUGGGCAUGGAGACUCAUGCCUGUAAUCCCAGCACUUUAGGAGGCCAAGGCGAGAGGACUGCUUGAGCCCAGGAGUUCGAGCCUAGCUUGGGCAACAUAGCAAGACACUACCUCUAUAAAAUAAAACUUUUAAUUAAAAAAAAAAUGACUGAAGGGAAAGGCAGAGUGACAGCAAAUUCCAGUACCUGCAAUAGUGGACUGGAAAAGAAAUAACAGUCUCAUGAUCACACACUGGAAACAUAAUGGCAAGUGGGAAUGAGGCCAGGCAUGGUGGCUCACACUUGUAAUCCCAGCACUUUGGGAGCCUAAGGCGGGGAGAUCCCCUGAUGU
Molecule: long non-coding RNA, 1047 nt
Filed under: Homo sapiens (human)
Lineage: Eukaryota; Metazoa; Chordata; Mammalia; Primates; Hominidae
Description: HSALNT0254507
Source: RNAcentral